RNAcentral lists this ribosomal RNA (497 nucleotides) under uncultured bacterium. RNAcentral's name for it is "partial 16S ribosomal RNA". It matches the Rfam family "Bacterial small subunit ribosomal RNA", at positions 28 to 507 of the family's 1533-position model. The record is from RNAcentral.
GAUGAACGCUGGCGGCGUGCCUAAUACAUGCAAGUCGAGCGACCAGACGAUGAGCUUGCUCCUCUGCCGUUAGCGGCGGACGGGUGAGUAACACGUGGAUCACCUACCUCUAAGACUGGGAUAACUUCGGGAAACCGGAGCUAAUACCGGAUAAUAUAUUGAACCGCAUGGUUCAAUAGUGAAAGACGGUUUUGCUGUCACUUUUAGAUGGAUCCGCGCCGCAUUAGCUAGUUGGUAAGGUAACGGCUUACCAAGGCAACGAUGCGUAGCCGACCUGAGAGGGUGAUCGGCCACACUGGAACUGAGACACGGUCCAGACUCCUACGGGAGGCAGCAGUAGGGAAUCUUCCGCAAUGGGCGAAAGCCUGACGGAGCAACGCCGCGUGAGUGAUGAAGGUCUUCGGAUCGUAAAACUCUGUUAUUAGGGAAGAACAAAUGUGUAAGAAACUAUGCACGUCUUGACGGUACCUAAUCAGAAAGCCACGGCUAACUACGUG